GUAAUUUCUGUUUCAUAAUUAGGGCUUUUUGUUUGAUCUAAUCGGUUACUGAAUUAUGGUUUUGUUUGUAAGGAGAAUCCGAUUGCAAGCUCACCGGCGAAGGAAGCAUACAGGAAUCGGCUGGCGGACAGCCUCAACAUGGGAGUUAUGGAUUGGUUUGAUCCAAUUGCUGAUUCGACUACUAGCCAUCUCGAUCUGAUUCCCCACAUGGUUUAGGGGAGAAGUUUAAAACAACAGGACUAUGGAAGGAUAUACGGUGCUACAUUGACAGUCAACUCUACGGUUUGUAGGUUGAAGUUUGCUUAACACGCUUCAACCGUCGAACUUGGUGCGGCUCAAUUGAAUAAGGAAUGAAGUAGGUAAUGUACCUAGAAUCUUGGCAGAAGGAAGCGACUGGAGUUUGUUUUUUAAGGUAGUAAUUUCAAUCUAUCUUUUCAAGUUGCUUGUGGUGAACAACUUUCCCACAUCAAUGGGAGUAGGUAUGAUUUUUGCUCUUUUUCUCAUUGCUUCAUGCUAGGUGCUUGGCCGGUUAGGCGGGCUGUGUAACGGGCCAAAACUACGGGCAGGUCGA
This is a long non-coding RNA of Helianthus annuus (common sunflower), 571 nucleotides long. RefSeq lists it as uncharacterized. The transcript has 5 exons. NCBI's taxonomy places the organism in Eukaryota, Viridiplantae, Streptophyta, Magnoliopsida, Asterales, Asteraceae. The record is from RefSeq and is a predicted model, not a curated record.